Molecule: long non-coding RNA, 1177 nt
Filed under: Cercocebus atys (sooty mangabey)
Lineage: Eukaryota; Metazoa; Chordata; Mammalia; Primates; Cercopithecidae
Description: lncRNA (ENSCATG00000045679.1)
Source: RNAcentral
AGAAAAUGCAAGACCUAUUCAGAAAGGAUGCUGUAUAUACAUACAUACACGGGCCACAUGCUGUCUUACACAGGGGAAGCCAGAAGGCCAAUCGUGGGGCUGCACCUACUUACCUCUGAAAAUGAAGAGGAAGAAGAUGAGGAUGUGAUGAUUGAGUAGUGUUGGAAGCUGCGGCAGUAUUCUUGGCAACAAGUAAACACAGCAUGAUUGGGACCCAUGGCAGGACAUGAGGAUAUUCGUGGCUGUUACACGUGAAUUUAUCAGAAGACCCUCAAUAAACAUAUCAGAAGAUCUUUUCCUUUUGGAUGUUACAAGAAUGUCAUUGUAUUGCUGGCAGGGAGAGAUGAAAAAAUCCAUCAGGAAUAAAUGUCCUCUCCUUUUCUGCUUAGGCUGAAACUACUGCUUCUAGGGACAAUCCAGCCUGUGGGAGCUCCCAGCUGAGGGGACUGCCUGCUGAUUUAUUGGCACUUGUUCUCAGCGACAGCAGCUCAGAGGCGAGAGGGGGUGGCACUCUGUGAUCACAGCUCCUUUUGGAAACCUCUGUGGACUCUAACAACAACAACUCCUCAUUGUUUCCCAUCUCCUUCAACGGUAUAUUGGUGUCUUGGUGAGUAGCCUUCAUAUUUCAGCACCACAGUGGAGGACAGCUCACAGCGCUUUCCUUGUUGAGUUCUUCAAGGGCGGGUCUAAUAAGGAAAAUGGGUUCACCAGGAAAGUGACCCUGGAAACUGAUCUACUCUGAGGUUUCCUUCUAGCUGUUUUGAAUUUCUGAGGCAGGAUAUAGUUCUUCAGACUUACUUUGCUCAGACUUAGCUCAUGUGCUCCUUUUGGGUUAUUAUAAAGUGCCUAUAUUUUCCUCUAGGCAAUGUCUGAACUAAAAUUCCUCUUCAUAUGCCUCCUCCACACAUCAUGAAAUCUGGGAGCAGCUUUGGAAAUCUCAUAUUUUUUCAAACUGGGUGCAUAGAACUUAGCUUCCUUACGGUCCCGGGUUGGGUAAAUAUAAGUGGUCACUUUUUGUUUCUUGGUGUGUGACUUUUAAGGUGUUUGCUCUCACUGAUUUGCAGAACAAGAAUAGAAACUGGCUUUCUUCUGGCACAGCUCUGGUUUGUCCUUCUGUCUCUUCUCUCCACCCAACCCCCAUCAGCUUAGAGAUUAGAAAGAGAUGGCAUUUUCUUAG